This 911-nucleotide ribosomal RNA is filed under the name uncultured bacterium. Its description in RNAcentral is "bacterial SSU rRNA". It matches the Rfam family "Bacterial small subunit ribosomal RNA", at positions 33 to 935 of the family's 1533-position model. The record is from RNAcentral.
ACGCUGGCGGCAGGCUUAACACAUGCAAGUCGAACGGUAACAGGAGAAAGCUUGCUUUCUUGCUGACGAGUGGCGGACGGGUGAGUAAUGCUUGGGAAUCUGGCUUAUGGAGGGGGAUAACUACGGGAAACUGUAGCUAAUACCGCGUAAUAUCUUCAGAUUAAAGGGUGGGACUUUCGAGCCACCUGCCAUAAGAUGAGCCCAAGUGGGAUUAGGUAGUUGGUUAGGUAAAGGCUGACCAAGCCGACGAUCUCUAGCUGGUCUGAGAGGAUGACCAGCCACACUGGAACUGAGACACGGUCCAGACUCCUACGGGAGGCAGCAGUGGGGAAUAUUGCACAAUGGGGGGAACCCUGAUGCAGCCAUGCCGCGUGAAUGAAGAAGGCCUUCGGGUUGUAAAGUUCUUUCGGUGACGAGGAAGGUUGGUAGGUUAAUAGCCUAUCAAAUUGACGUUAAUCACAGAAGAAGCACCGGCUAACUCCGUGCCAGCAGCCGCGGUAAUACGGGGGGUGCGAGCGUUAAUCGGAAUAACUGGGCGUAAAGGGCACGCAGGCGGUGACUUAAGUGAGAUGUGAAAGCCCCGAGCUUAACUUGGGAAUUGCAUUUCAUAUUGGGUCGCUAGAGUACUUUAGGGAGGGGUAGAAUUCCACGUGUAGCGGUGAAAUGCGUAGAGAUGUGGAGGAAUACCGAAGGCGAAGGCAGCCCCUUGGGAAUGUACUGACGCUCAUGUGCGAAAGCGUGGGGAGCAAACAGGAUUAGAUACCCUGGUAGUCCACGCUGUAAACGAUGUCGAUUUGGGGAUUGGGCUUUGAGCUUGGUGCCCGUAGCUAACGUGAUAAAUCGACCGCCUGGGGAGUACGGCCGCAAGGUUAAAACUCAAAUGAAUUGACGGGGGCCCGCACAAGCGGUGG